Molecule: ribosomal RNA, 261 nt
Filed under: uncultured archaeon
Lineage: Archaea
Description: partial 16S ribosomal RNA
Rfam family: Archaeal small subunit ribosomal RNA
Source: RNAcentral
AUUAGACUACCCGUGUACGUCCCAGCCCUAAACGAUGCGCGUUAGGUGUAUCGGUGACCACGAGUCGCCGAGGUGCCGAAAGGGAAACCGUAGAAACGUGCCGCCGUGGGAAGUACGGUCGCAAGGCUAGAAACUUAAAGGAAUUGGCGGGGGAGCACCACAACGGGUGGAGCCUGCGGUUUAAUUGGACUCAACGCCGGGAAGCUCACCGGAUAAGACAGCGGAAUGAUUGCCGGGCUGAAGACCCUGCAUGACCAGCUG